CCUAAACUCUGGUAGACACCAAUGAACUAACAUUUCUUGCUAAUAAAAUAAGCAAAAAACAGAGAACUCUGUAGACAAAAAAGAUGGAUUAUAAGAAGAAAGGAAAACAAAUCAUAUCUGCAACAAUUGCAUUCAUGUUUAUGAAAGUGAAUCCAAGUCGAAAAGAAGAAUCCAUUUUGUGGGGAAUUCUCUAAAAACAUUCGAAGUUUAUGAGGAAGAUUAAGAUGCAACCCCUCAAUAUUUCAUUACAUGUUUCAAGGCCUACCAUAUAGCAAUAAUACAGUGUUUAAUCUGAUAGGACUCUCUUUUAUGUCGUCCUGCUAAUUCGUCUUCUCUAUCAUUUCAACUUUCAUUCUCGAGAAGUUCUAGAUACACAACUGAAAAAGGAUAGGAAGGCAGCGAUAUCUAACCCGGGGAGUUAACAGAAAUGGGCAGCUAGAGUUGGGAAUUAAGAGACGAACUCUGAUGAAUUCCGCAACACUUAGUUUUGCAAGAUUUCUUUAAGCAUUUCAACAACCUUUUUCAUCAUAGGCCGUUUGGCUGGUGUGCUUUCGGUGCAAAGUAGUGCCACCUUUAGAGCCGCAAGCAUUUCUUUUCUCCAAGCAAACGAAACGGUGCUUAGCCUUGCAUCAAGAAUCUGCUCUGGGGUUUCCCCUCGCGCAGGUGCAGUAUGAACCCACUUCACCAAAUCUAUGCCUUCACCGAAUUCCUCAUCAACUGGUAGUCUAGUUGUAAGGAUCUCGAGCAACACAACUCCAUAGCUAUAAACAUUUCCAGGUGCUGUAACUUGCAUUGUAUAUGCAUAUUCUGUUAUACACAAAAAGAAUUAGACAGAUUAUAAUGGAAGGAAGAAAAUCAUUGAUAAGCAUUCCAAAGGGGUACCUGGAGGAAUAUAUCCAAAUGAACCAGCAACGGCACUAAUACUUGCUGUCCCUCUGGAUGGGUCGAGGAGUUUCGAUAUUUCAACUUCACCGACCAAAGGCCUGAGAUUGGAGUCUAGAAAUACAUUACUGGAUGAGAUAUCAAGGUGGAUAAUGGCCACGUGAUGAAGGAAUGCCAACCCUUCUGCCACUCCGAUGGCAAUGGCAAGUCUUGAUGGCCAGUCUGGUUUAUAAUCCGGUUUCUUAGUAGAGUCAUGAAGAAAUUGGGCCAAUGUCCCGUUUUGAAAGUAAUGGUGCAACAAAAGAACAGCAUCUUCAUAGAUUACAAACCCAAUAGGUCUCAUCAGAUUGUCAUGACAGAGUUUGCUCAGUCUUUCGAGUUCUCUGAUCAUCUUGUUCUGAUGAUGGAUUAUAGUUUUAUCCAUCGAUUUCAGUUUUUUGACGGAUAAAAUCAUCCCUGAAGGCAUGUCCGCUCGGUAGACACUGCUAAACGUUCCACUACUGAGCUUGUUUGACUCUUUCAUGGUUGCUUUUGCAACUGCUUCGAACUCUAUUGCCUGCCUGAGGUUUUCGAUAAAAACAUUUCCUGCCAAUAUCACUGGCUUAUUAUUAGUUUCAUCAGCAGAAAUUCCCGAAUCUUUGGCCUCUUUUUCUUGUUUCUCCCUCAUCAUAAACAGCAAAACGACCACUGUCACAGAUACGAAAACUGCCAAACCAGAACCAAUAACAGCUAAUAUGAUCCUGUACGAGACCUUGUGAUGGUAAUCGUUAUGACCAUAAGCAUUCAAACUUCCGCACGAAAUACUUAAUGGUUCACCACAGAGCCCUUUGUUUCCAAUAAAGCUCGAAUUUGGGCUCUUUUGGAACGGCACAAAGGAAGGUAUAGGACCAGUGAAAUGAUUAUUCGAAAAAUUAACCUCUAUCAAGCUGAGCAUGCCUUUCAGAGUCACCGGAAUAUUUCCACUGAGCUGAUUAUUGGAGAAAUCCAAAGAAACCAACUUGUCAAGUCUUCCAAGCUCUUGGGGCAAUUGUCCAUGGAGAUGAUUCGAGCUUAAAUUAAGUGCAAUCUGCAAGUUCUUUAUAUGACCAAUCUCGGGAGGAAUACUUCCUGUCAGAUAGUUACUUCCCAACUGUAAUUCAAGCAGUUUUGUGCAGUUCCCGAUCUCAUGAGGUAUCUCCCCUCUUAUCGAAUUCUGACCUAACAGCAGGUAUUGCAGUUUAGACGUGUUGCAAAUGCUCUCCGGUAUGGAGCCAUUAAAUCUGUUAUUGCUUAAAUCAAGCUUGUUAAGAUUCUUGCCCCUGAGAAUUGAUGUGGGGAUCUCUCCAAACAGACUAUUCCCAGAGACAAUCAACUCCUGCAGAUUGCUGAGAUCUCCAAACUCACUCGGGAUGGUUCCAGUCAAGCCAUUUGAGGCUAAAUUAAGGAGAGUGAGAUUAGAGCACUGUGCAAACUCGGAGACAAUCUCCCCCGAGAGAUCAUUGUUAUCAGCUUCAAAGUAUGUAAGGCUGCUGAUAUUUCCAAUAUCUGUAGGAAUGCUCCCAAUCAACUUGUUGUCCCCAAUCCUAAUACUCGAAAGGCCUUUACAUUUCCCAAUCGAUUCAGGAAUACUGCCGGCCAAUAAAUUCUUUGUCAAAACCAAAACUUCAAGCUUCUCCAUAGAGAAAAUGCUCUCAGGAAUUGGCCCCUCUAGUCUAUUCGAAUGAAGGUUCAAUAACUCAAGUCCGGAAAAUGCACCUAAAUUAUCUGGAAUCGUACCACUCAACUCAUUUUCAUACGCUGUAAAAACUUCCAGAUUAGUCAAAUUUCCCACCCACAAUGGGAUAGAACCAUUCAAUCUAUUAGUAAAUAUUUGAAACUCCUGCAAAUUCUCUAGACUCUCAAGCUCAUUAGGAAUCGCUCCAGUUAGCCAAUUGUUCGAAAGAUUCAAUGCUCUAACAUUUCGUAGUCUACUGAAUUCCACAGGUAUUGAACCAUCAAAUUUAUUAAAUGACAAAUCAAGAAAUUCAAGCUGAGAUAAAUUCCCAAAAACUGGUGGGAUUAUUCCAUGGAAAUUAUUGUUUGAAAGAUCAAGCCAUUUUAGUCCUUUGAGCUCAGAAAUUAGAGUGAAAUUACCUUGAAGCCCAUGCCCAGAAAGAUCAAGCCUCUCCACCAUUGAAUUGUUUAAGCUGCAAAUUAUUCCAGGCCAAGAACAGUAAUCUGAGUUAUUAACGCCCCACCCAGAUAAUCUAAACUCUUUCUCAAUGGCUAAUAAUGGUAUUUCAUCGUAAAAAACCUGAGCAAUCACAAGUUGAGACCUCAAAAACAACCCAAAAAGCAAAAUAUUCAACAAACUUAAAAUUGCCAUUCUUGGGUUGCCUUCAAUGUAUAUUAAAAAAAAAAAAACCAGAAGAAGAAUCAAAAGACUAAAUGGUUUUUUAAUUUUGCUCAAAAGACCCACAUGAAGGUCUCAUUUUUCUUGAACUGGGCUUGUUCCAGAGAUGUUGAUAUUCAAGAAAAUAAAAUGUGAAGAUGACAAUACAACCAGACCAAAAAAAUGGAAAUCUUUGUACAAAAAGAAGUGGAGUUGAUGAUGAGGGGUCUAUGUCAACCAGAACAAGGUUGCAAGAAAGUGGAUGAGAGAAAUGAAGACGAUGAAACAACAAUAGUACUAUGUUUGGGGUAACUGGGUUCACGGGUCAGGUGUUUUGUGCACUGUCGGAGAGGGAGAGAGCUGUGAAUACAAUAUGAAAAUCCAACUUUAGCUUCACGAGAAAUGAGCAGUGAUGAG
Molecule: long non-coding RNA, 3649 nt
Filed under: Olea europaea subsp. europaea
Lineage: Eukaryota; Viridiplantae; Streptophyta; Magnoliopsida; Lamiales; Oleaceae
Source: RNAcentral